CUCCAAUCCGCACUUGACACAAUCAUUUCUAGUAUGUGAACACGAGGCAGUAAGCAAAACGCUGGCUGUCAGGGACCGUUGUCCCCAAAGCCACUCCUGAAGUGGGUCACAUGCCUUGUUCUGUAAGCCAAGCAACCCGACAGCAGUCACACUUAUUCUUGUGCAAGAGGUUUUAAGAUGAUUCGAAUGCAUGGCUGAGCUGCAGUGCUGGCUUCGAGGAGACGUGAUUUUGACGUGAUCUAGAGAGAUGGUCUGAGCAUUGAAACACUUCCCGUGAAGAUGAGCGAUCUCAAGCCCUACGACUGUAGCAUGAUUUGACGUAUCAUAGGGAAAUUAAUCUUGCACCGCACUUUUAUGUGAAGAAGUAACAUGUCUUCAUCAAGUUUUGAAAUCUGGUUGCCUGUCAGAUGCCGCAUCUGGUCAAGGGGGCCUUUGCAGGCUAUUUGGUUCAUCAGUAAAUGCACAGCCUGACGACCCCCAGGAAUUCGAACUUAAUAUAUUACAGUGUAAUAAUUACACCCAAUGCAAAUUGUGCAAAGUUAGCUUAUUGCAGCGUUCCCAAAGGACUCGCACAGCCUUUGUGACAUGUUCAAUCAUGUCAGAGCUCGCCAAAUAUGGCCUAAUGUUCUUCUGAGGGUGCAAAUGUGCUGCCAAUAAAGCCCUCUCUGAUUGCCAAUCUCCACGUCAAUCUUUCUGGCAGCAAUUGAUCUCAAACACAUUGAGCAAAACACAUGAAUUUCCGCAAUGGCAGCCUGCAAUCUGCAGUGGCGUUCUAAUUGCCUCCUAAGAAACAUACAAACACAAAAAAGAGCAUAGAAUGCUGCCCACCGUCUCUUCAAACAAGCAAUUGCCUGCGGCGCUGGCUUCAAAGAGCUGAGCGCUUACCCUUUGCAGCCUUCCCCUUGGGUGUAUACUCGGGCGUGGUGCCGGCGCGAAUGGCGGCCAUGAAGGCCUCCCACUUUUUCUUGUAGGGCGGCAGCGGCUGGGAAUCGUCGUCGUAGCCGGAUUUCUGGCAGUCCCAGGAGCAUCGCGCGCAUUUGGCGUCCCAGUCCUCUCCCAGCCACCAGGGGCAGCCGCACCUCAGGCACGGCAUCUUCGGCC
RNAcentral lists this long non-coding RNA (1101 nucleotides) under Coccomyxa subellipsoidea. RNAcentral describes it as "long non-coding RNA (CSUB_LNC000258)". Lineage: Eukaryota; Viridiplantae; Chlorophyta; Trebouxiophyceae; Coccomyxaceae. The record is from RNAcentral.